Aethalodelphis obliquidens (Pacific white-sided dolphin) is the source of this 2233-nucleotide long non-coding RNA. RefSeq lists it as uncharacterized. The transcript is spliced from 6 exons. NCBI's taxonomy places the organism in Eukaryota, Metazoa, Chordata, Mammalia, Artiodactyla, Delphinidae. The record is from RefSeq and is a predicted model, not a curated record.
GCAAUAGAAAACGAAUAUCACCUCAUUCCACUACUCCUCAUUCAGCCUCCUCUCGAAGGGUCAGUUAGUUGCACACUAAGGUGACCCUUAUAAACGUGCUAUCACGUCCAGGCAGGAAUGGUAAAGCCAGCCGAGGAAGCCGACUGGCUUUAGCAAGAUGGCAGCUCCAGGGACAGCACAUCGGCCUGAGAGAAACAAGAGCCUGGCUGGGAAGACUGCCGUCCUAGGCACCAUUUUGGCCCAUGAGAGCAUGGGCCACAUAGGAGGGAUAGUAAAAAGGGAAGCUGGAAGAGGCCCAAAUCCCUAAGGAUGUAACAGAAUACAGCCAUGUCCCCAUUCCUGGACCGCUUUCCUCUGGACUUAGAAGAUGACACACACCCUCCCUCAGCCCCGUGUUCUGCUGGAGAGAAUAAUCACCUCAGAGUAACAGUGCUUCCCUUUCACAUCCAGAUUCCUAUGAAAUGAGAAAAUGGGAGUCUCAACAAACUGGCACAGAGCCUAGGCAUCACCCAGUUCAACCAAGGGAGUUCAGCAAUGAAGACGCAAUGAGGACAGACCUGAUUUCGUAUGCCGGAGGAACGGAAGCAGGAUCUUUUUCUUCCUACCCUGAUGAACGUCAGAAUGUUGGCAAUGAAGUCACAGUUCUCCGAUGGACUCUGAUCUGCUCCGCUCUUUUUCUUCCUGUAGAAAGGGCAGUCCAGACCCUUUACCUCUAAGUCUCAUGUUUUCUCUAUUUAAAAAAAUCUUUGUCCCAGGCAUUCCUUCCAUCUACCCUUCCUAAACAUAGCCCACAUUUCCAUGUCUUUGCACAAGCUUCCCCCCACCGCCGCCUGCCAUGCCCUUCCCCUCACUUCCCCUCACAGGCUAACUCUUUCUUGCACAGAUGCCACCAUCUGCAGGAAGCCUUCCCAGCUCUCAGGAGGUCCCUCUCUUGUGUUCUCUCCUAGCACCCUUGGCAAGUAUCAGGCUGUCCCCACAUGAGAGAAUAGCUGCUUGACCAUCUCGACUCUCUGGUGACCAGCAAAGUGACCCAGCACACGAGAAACACCAGACCUCCAUAGGCACAGACUGAACGGCUUUCUGAGUUCCUUGUGGUCCACCCCUCCCCCCCGUCACACCCCAGCCACAUGCUCCACCUGCCAGAAGCACCCCUCCCUCUGGAGACCCACACGUUCUCCGCUUUCAACCUGCUGCUACAGCACCCUGUGCUGAAGGGGCCUCAGAACACAAGCCCAGCCCAGCAAAGCCCAAAGGGACAUGGUGUGCUCAAGUUAUUCAUUACUCAAGUUAGAGGAGGUCACAGAGCAGGAAGCACACUGGAAAGCAAGGUGAAAGGUGGCAUGGAGGGUGGGGGAUUAGUCAGGGUGACCUUCUAAGGGAAUUCAGAGCCUGGCAGGAGGGCGUAUCAGAGUGGGAAGGUCCUAGCAACAGCCCCAAGGUUAGACAAGGUCAAAUGGAAACUGCUAAUUAUAAUUAAGCUACCUACUUUAUAGCCCUUGUUAUGCACCAGGCACUGUGCUUAGUGCUUCCCACAACUACCAUUUAAUCCUUGCAACAAUGUAUCACUCCGAUUUUACAACUGAGAGAAUGGUCCUGCAGAGAACAAGUGACUUGCUCAAGGUCACACAGCUAGUGAGUACUGAAGCUGGGAGACCGAGUGCAGGUCUGUCUUGCCCUUCAUCAGGUUGCUCUUUUUGGUGACACGGUUAGAUGAGUGAAACAAUUCUAGAUGGUCUACAGUGGAAGGUGGAGUUUGAAUCUGGUUCCCAUAGAGAUCAUGCUCUCCAGGGGCAAUACCAGGUUUGGGUGGAAACAUGGAGGUUCUUUUAAGCCAAGGGGAGGUUGGUUUAGAAUGAGAUGCUAUUGUGAAGGCAUGACCCUCGAAGCUUGUCAGAACCCAGCAAGAGUUUACAUGCAGGGGAGGGAGAAUGAGCAAAGCUGGGGAGGUAAAAUUUGAGGGGGGGGUGUGUGUAUCCCCCAGAGGAAGAUAGCAGGUCAAGGACAACAGGAAAAGGUCAUCCUUGCCAGACACAGGAUCAGACCAAUUGGCAUUUGCCAUAGCUCUAGAGAGCUAGGGUAGGACACUGCUUUUUUAAGAAAAAAAGAUUUUUUUAAAAAAAACCUGGCAAUGCGAGCCUUUCUCUGCAUACUUUGUUGUACUACCUACUUCUACUGGAAAAGAGAGAAGGGGAGGGGAGAGAAAGAGAGAGGGGGAGAGAGAGAGGGAGGGGAA